Molecule: long non-coding RNA, 1609 nt
Organism: Podarcis muralis (Common wall lizard)
Lineage: Eukaryota; Metazoa; Chordata; Lepidosauria; Squamata; Lacertidae
Source: Ensembl
AUGUUAUACUCUGUCAUGCUGAAUCUAUACAUUGAAAACAUGCAGAUUUGGUUUAAGGAGAUCAUGCAAAAUACACUCAAACUUUUUGUUUUAGAUGGAUUUGUCCUAGAAACACGUUUGCCUUUGCCAAGGCAUAGUGGCUUAGGAAGGACUGAUGUAAUGAAGGAACAGAAGAACAGACAAAAUGGAAGGUUGCAUGUGUUUGGUCCAAAAGAAGAAGUAGUCCUUGAACCCGUUCAAACAAUUCCACGCAUGGGAUGUGGAAAUGAAUCUAUAAGCAGACCUUACACUCCAUCAAAGCAGAUCUUGUUACGUGCAGCUAAAUCUGUAGAAAAGGGGAAUACUUUAAAAAGAAUUGCAAGAUAUAAAAAUCCAAAGAUGAGUGUAAGAUUGCCUGACCGCAUAGAAGAAGAGACAGAAAUUCAUAAUGAUCAACAAUUAGAAACUGAUUUACAGAGGCUGAAUCAUGAAACUAAGAUAACUGAGGUGAAGACAGAAUUGGAAGUCAAUGAUGAAAAAAUGAAAAAUUCCGCAGUUGUUGAAAAGCUACCCAACGGUGAGGUCAGUACUGAGAAGCAAAGGGAAGGUGUAGCUAAAGAAAAUGCCGACAAGAAGCCGCCAGAGAGUUCAGAGGACGAAAAUAAUGAACAAAGUGACUGUGAAGCUGAAAAGAGAGUUGCACCGCUGCAGUUAAUGGGAGAGGGAAAAAGAAACUACAGUCAUACCUUGGAAGUCGAAUGCCUUGCAAAUCGAACAUUUUGGCUCCCACACACCGCAAACCCGGAAGUGCGUCUUCCGGUUUGCGAAUGUUCUUUGGAACCCGAACGUCUGACAUGGGUUCCGCAGCUUCCGAUUGGCUGCAGGAGCUUCCUUGGUUUCCGAAUGUUUUGGAAGUCGAACAGACUUCUGGAGCGGAUUCUGUUCGACUUCUGAGGUAUGACUGUACUUACCACUCUAGAUAAGAAGCCUCUAGAAGAAAACAGCCUAGAACAUAAGAGACUCUUCCUUCCCAGUGCUACAUUGAUGCUUGUAGAUCAGGGGUCAGCAACCUUUUUCAGCCGUGGGCCAGUCCACCGUCCCUCAGACCAUGUGGUGGGCUGGACUAUAUUUUUUUUUUGGGGGGGGGAUGAAGAAAUUCCUAUGCCCCACAAAUAACCCAGAGAUGCAUUUUAAAUAAAAGGACACAUUCUACUCAUGUAAAAACACCAGGCAGGCCCCACAAAUAACCCAGCGAUGCAUUUUAAAUAAAAGGACACAUUCUACUCAUGUAAAAACACGCUGAUUUCUGGACCGUCCAUGGGCCGGAUUUAGAAGGCGAUUGGGCCACAUCCAGCCCCCGGGCCUUAGGUUGCCAACCCGAUAUAGAUCGUCUGCAUUAUGCACAGUCUUUGUGAUUAUUUAGGUCACUGCAGAUGAGUUUGGUAAUGACAUACGAUGUGUGGAGGAAUGGAUCUACGUGACAAAGUGUCAUGCAUCAUGUGUCCUAAGUGUGAAAAAGUUGUCAUGCUGAAGCUGUUCAAACUGGACUUUACAGCGCAGGAUCAACACCCUUGAGUUGACUUGAGUGCAGGUUGAGUCAUAUUGGCUCGUAUUUGUAUUAAUCUGCAUA